CGUAGGGUACAGAGGUAAGAUGUUCUAUUUUUCAACCCUGUAAUAGGAUUGGCUUUAUAUUAGCCGCCCCGUUCGUUUGAACGGGGCGUUUUUUUA
Molecule: non-coding RNA, 96 nt
Filed under: Pragia fontium DSM 5563 = ATCC 49100
Lineage: Bacteria; Pseudomonadati; Pseudomonadota; Gammaproteobacteria; Enterobacterales; Budviciaceae
Source: RNAcentral